GUGAGGAAUAUUGGUCAAUGGGCGGGAGCCUGAACCAGCCAAGCCGCGUGAAGGAAGAAGGCGCUAAGCGUCGUAAACUUCUUUUGCCGGGGAACAAAAGCCGUCACGGGUGGCGGUCCGAGUGUACCCGGAGAAAAAGCAUCGGCUAACUCCGUGCCAGCAGCCGCGGUAAUACGGAGGAUGCGAGCGUUAUCCGGAUUUAUUGGGUUUAAAGGGUGCGUAGGCGGUCUGUUAAGUCAGCGGUAAAAGCCCGGGGCUCAACUCCGGCGAGCCGUUGAAACUGGCGGACUAGAGAAGGCGAGAAGUACGCGGAAUGCGCAGUGUAGCGGUGAAAUGCAUAGAUAUUGCGCAGAACUCCGAUUGCGAAGGCAGCGUACCGGCGCCUGACUGACGCUGAGGCACGAAAGCGUGGGUAUCGAACAGGCUUAGAUACCCUAGUAGUCC
Molecule: ribosomal RNA, 444 nt
Filed under: uncultured bacterium
Lineage: Bacteria
Description: bacterial SSU rRNA
Rfam family: Bacterial small subunit ribosomal RNA
Source: RNAcentral